AAAAACAUGUCAUUAGCUAAGUAGAGGUGGCGAAGCAUCCAAGAUGUUUUGAAAAAAUCGUUGAUAUCGAUGUUUGCCAAGCCAACAUCGAUGUCUUCCAUCUCUAACUACGCAUCGAAGGAAAACUUGUAAAAUAGUUAUGUUGGCUGGCGACAAUUUGCAUUUACAUAAACUUCAAAUUUAGAUGACAGUAUGGAGGAGCGCGCUGCGAAAAAAAGCGGGAAGCUUCUACUGAUAAAGCAUUCAAAAAGUUAUCCAAGAGUUUAGCAUUUCCGCUCAUCGUGUGAGUGUACGCGUAUUUAGCAAAGCUGGUCAGCUCAUUUCCCACCGCCGCACAAGACUUUCCCCGACUGUCGUCGACAAAUUAUUGUUUUUAAACAAAAACAAGCAUUGGAAAUAAAACAUAAAUGGAAGAAAGAAGUCCACUAAAUUCUGGAUGACGGAGUACAAACGAACCAUAACCAACCAAUAAGUAGCCAUUUCCAAUUAAAAACAAUAAGAACAACUUGGUUUCGUGAACUAUUCAAAUCAUCAACUUUAAUUGAUGAUUUAUAGUCGAGAAAUGCCAAAUCUUUACCCAAUUCUUAUUAACUUUCGUUUCCCUUAGGAAUAACCUCUUCCCCAAUCCGGAAGCUACUUUCUCCCUUAUUGCAAUAAUAAAGGACAUCCGGUUACACCUCGAACGCAUCAGGACAUAGGACUAAUGUUUGACCAUGAACUGGACGUCGGAUGCCGAAAAGUUAUUUCCCCGGAAAGGAAACAAUUGGAAUUAGAUACAUUUAGUUUUACAUUUACGUUAAGUAUUUAAUUCGUUCUAACUAGUCUGAUUAAACCUAUUUACUUUUUAAGCAUCUCCCACUUUCAUCAUUAUAACAAGACCCAAUGUUUUAUAUAUUUGCCUAACUAAAUCCGUCUUUUGUCUGUCCGCCAAGCGUCUACGCAUACUGUCAACAAUUCUUCUUCUGCACAGUUUCGUAGCUGGCCAUUUUCGCUUUCACAGAUCGCAGUAGGCCAUAUAAAAGUUUAUUUUGACCUAGUCGUCGGCUUCUGACAUGUCCCGUCCUUGUCUUGUCCAUGUAUUUUAUACUUCCUAUUCUAACUACUUUUAGCUAUAUCACAGAUGUAUAUCACAGUUGAGAAAUUAUCACACAGUAUCACAUCGAUCGCAAAUCUACUCCGGUCAAGUGCCGAGUGGAUGACGCCGAUGUGAGCCAGAGAAAAUUACUCGUAGAGAUAUGAACCUUGAUAAGCUGAUUUCUUUAUUUACCUCCUGGUCUUUGAUUCAUGUUCAAUACCGAGCAGUCUCGCGAGCAACCGCUCUGUCCAAAAAGCACUUCUCAAAGCAGGAGUAAAUUAUAUUUUCUCCACUGUGAAGUUCACAGUGCUGCCGUUUCAAAAUUGGGCGCCAUCUGUUAAGAACCUGGUUGGUCCUGCGUGAUGUUUCGGAUUUUCUCAGGCUAGCCCAGGGGCCGUGGGACCCCGAGCCCUGUCCGAUCACACACUCAUAGAACUUAACGCCGGACUCACACCUUCAGGAAACCGACGUUUGACAACCUGCAUCGUGACAGAUGAAUUCAAAUUUAACACUCAACUAACAAAAUGGGUCUCACUGGGUCUGGUCAGGUCUGGAAUGGAAAGUCCAUUAAUUACGUCCUCACUCCUGGACUCAGACCACUUACCUAGGAUAUUUCCUGCACCGGCUUCCCAGCGGAUCUUCAAAAAGAUUUUUUACUUGUUUUUUGUUUAUUGGCUUUUUUAGAUUUAAUAAAAUAUUUCUUGUUUUAUGGUUUUCACAAAU
Molecule: long non-coding RNA, 1798 nt
Organism: Drosophila subpulchrella
Lineage: Eukaryota; Metazoa; Arthropoda; Insecta; Diptera; Drosophilidae
Exons: 4
Source: RefSeq, a predicted model, not a curated record